AACGAACGCUGGCGGCAGGCCUAACACAUGCAAGUCGAACGCCCAGUAAUGGGAGUGGCGCACGGGCGCGUAACGCGUGGGAAUAUGCCCUUCACUCCGGAACAACGUUUGGAAACGAACGCUAAUACCGUAUAAUGACUCCGGUCCAAAGAUUUAUCGGUGAAGGAUUAGCCCGCGUUAGAUUAGCUAGUUGGUGAGGUAAUGGCUCACCAAGGCAACGGUCUAUAGGGGGUCUGAGAGGAUGAUCCCCCACACUGGAACUGAGACACGGUCCAGACACCUAAGGGAGGCAGCAGUGAGGAAUAUUGGACAAUGGGCGCAAGCCUGUUCCAGCCAUGCGGCGUGAGUGAUGAAGGCCUUCGGGUUGUAAAGCUCUUUUAACGGUGAAGAUAAUGACGGUAGCCGUAGAAAAAGCCCCGGCUAAAUUCGUGCCAGCCGCCGCAGUAA
RNAcentral lists this ribosomal RNA (447 nucleotides) under uncultured bacterium. RNAcentral's name for it is "partial 16S ribosomal RNA". It matches the Rfam family "Bacterial small subunit ribosomal RNA", at positions 29 to 523 of the family's 1533-position model. The record is from RNAcentral.